GCAAACUUGGUCAUUUAGAGGAAGUAAAAGUCGUAACAAGGUCUCCGUUGGUGAACCAGCGGAGGGAUCAUUACAGAGUUUUUUAAACUCCCAAACCCAUGUGAAUCUUACCUUCUGUUGCCUCGGCGGAUGAUGCUACCCUGAAGUACCUACCCGGUACUUGAGGGUGGCUCACCGUCAAAGGACCACAAACUCUUGUUUUAUUUUGGAACUCUGAAUUACAAACUUAAUAAGUUAAAACUUUCAACAACGGAUCUCUUGGUUCUGGCAUCGAUGAAGAACGCAGC
Molecule: unclassified non-coding RNA, 287 nt
Filed under: uncultured fungus
Lineage: Eukaryota; Fungi
Description: partial contains small subunit ribosomal RNA, internal transcribed spacer 1, and 5.8S ribosomal RNA
Rfam family: Eukaryotic small subunit ribosomal RNA (bases 1-73)
Source: RNAcentral